AUUGAACGCUGGCGGAAUGCUUUACACAUGCAAGUCGAGCGGCAGCGCGGGGGCAACCCUGGCGGCGAGCGGCGAACGGGUGAGUAAUACAUCGGAACGUGUCCUUCAAGUGGGGGAUAGCUCGGCGAAAGCCGGAUUAAUACCGCAUAAGCUCUGAGGAGGAAAGCGGGGGACUGGUAACGGCCUCGCGCUGUUGGAGCGGCCGAUGUCGGAUUAGCUAGUUGGUGGGGAAAGGCCCACCAAGGCGACGAUCCGUAGCUGGUCUGAGAGGAUGAUCAGCCACACUGGAACUGAGACACGGUCCAGACUCCUACGGGAGGCAGCAGUGGGGAAUUUUGGACAAUGGGGGCAACCCUGAUCCAGCCAUUCCGCGUGAGUGAAGAA
RNAcentral lists this ribosomal RNA (384 nucleotides) under uncultured bacterium. RNAcentral describes it as "bacterial SSU rRNA". It matches the Rfam family "Bacterial small subunit ribosomal RNA", at positions 29 to 412 of the family's 1533-position model. The record is from RNAcentral.